AUGUGGCCACUCCUUAAAUGAAGUUUGGUCAUACACUUGUUUGAACAAUAAGGCCAUAUUAAGCUAACGUAUCCAGUUAACUACGUAGAAUCGAAUGUGAUCAAUCAUCGAGCAGGUGAUUUGGUUUCUGCUGGCAAGCAGCGUAUCAGGCUGUAAAAGACAAUAGUAAAUAGUUACUACUAACCAAUGCAACUUAUGAGAUGGAUAACUAGUUGUGUCAUUCACUCGAUGUGUGAAUUCGUUUUUCUUUACUGGCAUAAUUAUUUGCAGUACAUGAUGAAAACUUUAAAAGGAAACAUGAUUUCCUACCUCUCGUGUGCCAUCCAUCUUUUCUCCUUUAAUGAAUGAGGCUUUCAUUAUGCUCAUCCCCAAGUUGAUGUCUACAAUUUCUGCUUCAUUGUAUGAUCCUCCACGUUCUCAUUAAUCUCCAGAAGUUUACAGUUGCAAUCUAGCACAUAUUUUGAGUGUACUAUCGCGUGAAUUUUUCUCUAAGUGGCAGACACAUGUAUAGGCAAUGGAAGAAGAAUAUAAUCAGACUUUAAGCCACAUGGGGAUGGACCAUUAUCACAUACCUAGGGAACUAGCUCUCCCAGGAGGUGACGUGGCUUUAGUGUCA
This 616-nucleotide long non-coding RNA is filed under the name Nicotiana tabacum (common tobacco). RNAcentral's name for it is "long non-coding RNA (NTAB_LNC018221)". Lineage: Eukaryota; Viridiplantae; Streptophyta; Magnoliopsida; Solanales; Solanaceae. The record is from RNAcentral.